RNAcentral lists this long non-coding RNA (487 nucleotides) under Rattus norvegicus (Norway rat). RNAcentral describes it as "long non-coding RNA NONRATT011206". The record is from RNAcentral. Lineage: Eukaryota; Metazoa; Chordata; Mammalia; Rodentia; Muridae.
UUACAGGGUUUCUGGUUGCCGGUGUUGACCUCAAGAUUUCUACAUAGCUGAGGAUGACCUUGAACUCCUGAUCCUCUUGACUCUGCUUUCUGAGUGUUGGGGUUACAGGCGUGAGCCACCAGACCCCGGGCUCUCCUGUACAGAUGCAGCUGAACUACUUAUUUAUACACACUCCAGUUCUACCAUUCAUUCAUGUAUGGAGGCUGAAGCUGAAAGAGACAUAACUAGAGGAAUACAGCUCAUGAUAGAAAGGAUGCUUUGACGUCCCCUGAGAGCCUCAGAGACCUGGAGUCAGCUACCCCUCCCUCAGAUGACUCGCUCCUGCUGGGAGCAGCUUGCCUAUGGUAGGAGGAGAAACCUUGUAGGUUCUGCAGCGGACCUAAGGCUCAGCAUACCAUCAAGCAGCUCGGUGAGAAACGGCUUGCACAUUUGUUUAAUAUUUUUAGGCAGAUAGUGGGUUUUCGGAAUAAAUGCGAAGAUAAAAAUC